GAAAGAAUAUCGGAGACGGAUGGGCAUGCGGCGCAUUAGCUAGUUGGCGGGGUAACGGCCCACCAAGGCGACGAUGCGUAGGGGUUCUGAGAGGAAGGUCCCCCACACUGGUACUGAGACACGGACCAGACUCCUACGGGAGGCAGCAGUGAGGAAUAUUGGUCAAUGGGCGAGAGCCUGAACCAGCCAAGUCGCGUGAGGGAGUACUGCCCUAUGGGUUGUAAACCUCUUUUGUCGGGGAGCAAAAGCCGGACGUGUCCGUCUGUGAGAGUACCCGAAGAAAAAGCAUCGGCUAACUCCGUGCCAGCAGCCGCGGUAAUACGGAGGAUGCGAGCGUUAUCCGGAUUUAUUGGGUUUAAAGGGUGCGCAGGCGGAUUUUUAAGUCAGCGGUCAAAUCGUGGGGCUCAACCCCAUCCAGCCGUUGAAACUGGGGAUCUAGAGUGUGCGAGAGGUAUGCGGAAUGCGUGGUGUAGCGGUGAAAUGCAUAGAUAUCACGCAGAACCCCGAUUGCGAAGGCAGCAUACCGGUGCACAACUGACGCUCAGGCGCGAAAGCGUGGGUAUCGAACAGGAUUAGAUACCCUGGUAGUCCACGCAGUAAACGAUGAAUGCUACCUGUUUGGCCAGAUUGAAGGCUGA
RNAcentral lists this ribosomal RNA (638 nucleotides) under uncultured bacterium. RNAcentral describes it as "bacterial SSU rRNA". It matches the Rfam family "Bacterial small subunit ribosomal RNA", at positions 202 to 842 of the family's 1533-position model. The record is from RNAcentral.